RNAcentral lists this ribosomal RNA (134 nucleotides) under Pellonula leonensis (smalltoothed pellonula). RNAcentral describes it as "partial 16S ribosomal RNA". Lineage: Eukaryota; Metazoa; Chordata; Actinopteri; Clupeiformes; Clupeidae. The record is from RNAcentral.
ACUAAACAGCUAGCUCAAAACACUAAAAGUAAAAUUAACAACAUAACAAAACCACCAUAAACUAACAACAAUUACUAAACCAUUCGACCACCCCAGUACGGGCGACAGAAAAGGACUAUGAAGCCAUAGAUAAA